RNAcentral lists this non-coding RNA (26 nucleotides) under Homo sapiens (human). The record is from RNAcentral. Lineage: Eukaryota; Metazoa; Chordata; Mammalia; Primates; Hominidae.
UCUAAACAGUGACCUGUUGUAUGGGC